GUAGGUGGCGAGCGUUAUCCGGAAUUACUGGGCGUAAAGGGCACGCAGGCGGCCAAGCAAGUCUGACGUGAAAGCUCCUGGCUUAACUGGGAGAGGUCGUUGGAAACUGCCUGGCUUGAGGAAAUGAGAGGGGUGCGGAAUUCCCGGUGUAGUGGUGGAAUGCGUAGAUAUCGGGAGGAACACCAGUGGCGAAAGCGGCACCCUAGCAUUGACCUGACGCUCAUGUGCGAAAGCGUGGGGGGGAGCGAACGGGAUUAGAUACCCCGGUAGUCCACGCUGUAAACGAUGAGAACUAGGUGUGGGUAGUGUUAAAACUAUCUGUGCCGAAGCAAACGCGAUAAGUUCUCCGCCUGGGAGUACGGCCGCAAGGCUA
RNAcentral lists this ribosomal RNA (373 nucleotides) under uncultured organism. Its description in RNAcentral is "partial 16S ribosomal RNA". It matches the Rfam family "Bacterial small subunit ribosomal RNA", at positions 527 to 896 of the family's 1533-position model. The record is from RNAcentral.